AAUAGUGUACAGGUACUCUCUGGGAGGAGGGAGUUUAGGCUGGUAAAGUGUGAGAGCCAGCAACUGUAGAAAGGAGUCAAGGUAAAAGGCAACAGGAUCUAGGUGAAAGCAGACCACAGUUGCUAGACAUAGUGUUCUAGGACCAAAAUCUAGAAUAGAGGGUAGGUCUAGGUUCCCCUACAACACUGUGCUGGGAGGUGGCGCAGACAACUGCCUAGGACAAUUGUCUGAUAGGACUUUGCUACCCUUGAAGGGGAGGACUAUAGUGAGCUGGCUGGAGAGAGAGAGCACCUUGGGUGUGGGGUGGGGCAGGCAGCAGGGCAUGCGAACAAACAGGACUGGGGCACUGGACCUAGAAAGAGACAAUCCCCUGAACAGCCAGGAGGAAGCACCUUUGUGAUUUGCUGUUUCCUCAAAGCCCCAGCUCCUGGAUUCAUGUGACCACAGGAGAAUCUCCACUUACAUUUAUUAGAAAAGAUUGCUAUAUGCCAAAUGAAGAUACCUGAGUGACAGCUAGAGUUGAACUGCGUUCUUGGGAAGCCGAGUAGAAAGACAUCUCAGAGGGAAUCCCAACAAAUAAAGGUCAUACUGUUAAUGCAAGUGAAACAUGCCACGCAGGGGUUAAAAAGAGCUUGGAAACAUCCCACCUUUGGGUAAAUGGGAGAUGAGUUGCAAACAACAGAUUUAUACCCAGAAGUAGGUAACAGAUGUUCCUUGGAUAGCAUAUACAGGAAUUUCUAUAAUGAUUGUGGUGGUCAGAGUUAUAGCUUCAUCAUAGACUAUUUUCUGUUGUAAGAAAUGCUUGCACUUUUACGUCAGUGGGGGGAAAAACUUGAAUAAGGUUUCUCUUAUCACAAGGUGUAGAUAGUGUACAUAGCAUGGUUUUUUGCUUUUUCAU
Mauremys reevesii (Reeves's turtle) is the source of this 898-nucleotide long non-coding RNA. RefSeq lists it as uncharacterized. NCBI's taxonomy places the organism in Eukaryota, Metazoa, Chordata, Testudines, Geoemydidae. The transcript has 4 exons. The record is from RefSeq and is a predicted model, not a curated record.